Long non-coding RNA from Etheostoma cragini (Arkansas darter), 124 nucleotides. RefSeq lists it as uncharacterized. The transcript is spliced from 2 exons. The record is from RefSeq and is a predicted model, not a curated record. Lineage: Eukaryota; Metazoa; Chordata; Actinopteri; Perciformes; Percidae.
AAAAUCCUAAUUAGUAAAGUAACUAGCAACUAAAGCUGAAGUUAAUGUAAUGGAGUAAGAAGUACAAUAUUUCUCUCUGAAAUGUAGUAGAAGUAGAAAGUGCCAAAAAAGGAAAAAACUCAAG